RNAcentral lists this ribosomal RNA (252 nucleotides) under uncultured bacterium. Its description in RNAcentral is "partial 16S ribosomal RNA". It matches the Rfam family "Bacterial small subunit ribosomal RNA", at positions 523 to 769 of the family's 1533-position model. The record is from RNAcentral.
AUACGAAGGGGGCUAGCGUUGCUCGGAAUGACUGGGCGUAAAGGGCGUGUAGGCGGUUUACACAGUCAGAUGUGAAAUCCCCGGGCUUAACCUGGGAGCUGCAUUUGAUACGUGUAGACUAGAGUGUGAGAGAGGGUUGUGGAAUUCCCAGUGUAGAGGUGAAAUUCGUUUUUUAGAUAUUGGGAAGAACACCGGUGGCGAAGGCGGCAACCUGGCUCAUGACUGACGCUGAGGCGCGAAAGCGUGGGGAGC